CAAAACAACUCCAAUUCCAGUCCU
RNAcentral lists this non-coding RNA (24 nucleotides) under Arabidopsis thaliana (thale cress). The record is from RNAcentral. Lineage: Eukaryota; Viridiplantae; Streptophyta; Magnoliopsida; Brassicales; Brassicaceae.